Paramisgurnus dabryanus is the source of this 794-nucleotide non-coding RNA. The record is from RefSeq and is a predicted model, not a curated record. NCBI's taxonomy places the organism in Eukaryota, Metazoa, Chordata, Actinopteri, Cypriniformes, Cobitidae.
UUUUUUGAUGGGCCAUCACACAGUGGAUUUAUAAAAAUGAGAUUACAGAACAUCAGACGGUAGCUUCAACAGAGUUGAAGUGGGAGGACAUCAUCAAUAAAGAAUGCCAUUGGCCAAACCUUCAGUCAUCAAAGAAGAUGGAUACAGGGGGACAUCAAGUUUUCCAGACUUACCGAUGGGAAAGAAGAAAUGGGAAUGUGACAAUUAUUGAGAAACUCAGGGAAAAAGCAUCUUAAGAGAAGAAAAUGGACAUCAGACAUUUAUUGAAGAAAGCUGACAGUCAACAUAAUGAUGAGAGCUGUGUUAUGGAUACUCGUUCAUCUUCUGCUGUGUGAAUUCUGCUGUGUCAGUCCUGUGGGACUUGAUGCCGGCUGGUACCAGUGUGACGUCUUUGCUUACUAAAUGAUCAAAGGGUGUCUGAAAUCAGCUCAGCCACAGUUGGUUUCCAACGGUUCUUCAGGACAUGGAGGCCACUACGUAACUGUUGCAAUUAACGAUUCUUUUGCCUCCACCACUGAUGUUGACAAUCUGACCUGUGCUGUACUGAAAACAACUUGCACUGACAUAUCUUAAAAUAUAUCAGUGCCCUUUGUUUUGCCUCAAAAUGCACACCAGUAAUGUUUUUUGUUGAAACCAGUUAUAUUUCCUAAUUAAACUAAGGCCUAGUCCUGGAUUAAGCUAAUCCCCUGUCCGGGAAACCGCCCCUAAAUGUUUUGUGACGGAAAUUUCUUUGAAUACACUUGUCAAGUUCAUUUUAAGUAUUUUUCUAAAUGUAAGAUAACAUGUUAAAGUUU